CCCCGGUAAACGGCGGCCGUAACUAUAACGGUCCUAAGGUAGCGAAAUUCCUUGUCGGGUAAGUUCCGACCUGCACGAAUGGAGUAACGAUUUGGGGACUGUCUCCACGAGGGGCUCAGCGAAUCUGUAGCGCUGGUGAAGAUGCCAGCUACCCGCAACUAGACGGAAAGACCCUGUGCACCUUUACUACACCCUGGCAGUGAACUCUGGUGCUGUAUGUGUAGGAUAGGUGGGAGCCUUUGAAGCCGGGCCGCUAGGUUCGGUGGAGGCAACGGUGAAAUACCACCCUUACAGUACCGGAGUUCUAACCGAGGUCCGUCAUCCGGAUCCGGGACAUUGCCAGGCGGGUAGUUUGACUGGGGCGGUCGCCUCCCAAAGCGUAACGGAGGCUCGCGAAGGUUCUCUCAGGCUGUUUGGAAAUCAGCCGUCGAGUGUAAAGGCAGAAGAGAGCUUAACUGUAAGACCUACAAGUCGAGCAGGUGGGAAACCAGGCCUUAGUGAUCCGGUGGUUCUGUAUGGAAGGGCCAUCGCUCAAAGGAUAAAAGGUACGCCGGGGAUAACAGGCUGAUCCUGACCAAGAGUUCACAUCGACGUCAGGGUUUGGCACCUCGAUGUCGGCUCAUCGCAUCCUGGGGCUGGAGCAGGUCCCAAGGGUUCGGCUGUUCGCCGAUUAAAGCGGUACGUGAGCUGGGUUUAGAACGUCGCGAGACAGUUCGGUCCCUAUCUGUUGUGGGCGGAGGAGAAUUGAGUGGAGGUUUCCUUAGUACGAGAGGACCGGGAAGCACUGACCUCUAGUGUACGAGUUGUCCUGCCAAGGGCAUCGCUCGGUAGCUACGUCGGGAAAGGAUAAUCGCUGAAAGCAUAUAAGCGAGAAGCCAACCACAAGAUGAGUUCUCCCUGAAGACCCGUGGUAGAUGACCACGUUGAUAGGCUGGAUGUGGAAGAGCAGUGAUGCUCGUAGCUGACCAGUACUAAUCGGUCGUUUGGCUUGACCAU
Molecule: ribosomal RNA, 996 nt
Filed under: soil metagenome
Description: bacterial LSU rRNA
Rfam family: Bacterial large subunit ribosomal RNA
Source: RNAcentral